Molecule: ribosomal RNA, 435 nt
Filed under: uncultured bacterium
Lineage: Bacteria
Description: partial 16S ribosomal RNA
Rfam family: Bacterial small subunit ribosomal RNA
Source: RNAcentral
AGCGAACGCUGGCGGCAGGCUUAACACAUGCAAGUCGAGCGGGCAUCUUCGGAUGUCAGCGGCAGACGGGUGAGUAACACGUGGGAACGUACCCUUCGGUUCGGAACAACUCUGGGAAACUGGAGCUAAUACCGGAUACGCCCUUAUGGGGAAAGGUUUACUGCCGAAGGAUCGGCCCGCGUCUGAUUAGCUAGUUGGUGGGGUAACGGCCUACCAAGGCGACGAUCAGUAGCUGGUCUGAGAGGAUGAUUAGCCACACUGGGACUGAGACACGGCCCAGACUCCUACGGGAGGCAGCAGUGGGGAAUAUUAGACAAUGGGCGCAAGCCUGAUCCAGCCAUGCCGCGUGAGUGAUGAAGGCCUUAGGGUUGUAAAGCUCUUUUGUCCGGGACGAUAAUGACGGUACCGGAAGAAUAAGCCCCGGCUAACUUCGUG